CCCUACGGGGGGCAGCAGUGGGGGAUAUUGCACAAUGGGGGGAACCCUGAUGCAGCGACGCCGCGUGGGUGAAGAAGCGCCUCGGCGCGUAAAGCCCUGUCAGCAGGGAAGAAAAUGACGGUACCUGAAGAAGAAGCCCCGGCUAACUACGUGCCAGCAGCCGCGGUAAUACGUAGGGGGCAAGCGUUAUCCGGAUUUACUGGGUGUAAAGGGGGCGCAGACGGCGAUGCAAGCCAGGAGUGAAAGCCCGGGGCCCAACCCCGGGCCUGCUCUUGGAACUGCGUGGCUGGAGUGCAGGAGGGGCG
This 305-nucleotide ribosomal RNA is filed under the name uncultured bacterium. Its description in RNAcentral is "partial 16S ribosomal RNA". It matches the Rfam family "Bacterial small subunit ribosomal RNA", at positions 337 to 659 of the family's 1533-position model. The record is from RNAcentral.